Molecule: ribosomal RNA, 513 nt
Filed under: uncultured bacterium
Lineage: Bacteria
Description: partial 16S ribosomal RNA
Rfam family: Bacterial small subunit ribosomal RNA
Source: RNAcentral
GACGAACGCUGGCGGCAUGCCUAAUACAUGCAAGUCGAGCGAACAGAUGAAGUGCUUGCACUUCUGACGUUAGCGGCGAACGGGUGAGUAACACGUAAGGAAUCUACCUAUAAGCGGGGGAUAACAUUCGGAAACGGGUGCUAAUACCGCAUAAUAUCUUCUUCCGCAUGGAAGAAGAUUGAAAGACGGCUCUGCUGUCACUUAUAGAUGACCUUGCGGUGCAUGAGUAAGUUGGUGGGGUAAAGGCCUACCAAGACGAUGAUGCAUAGCCGACCUGAGAGGGUGAUCGGCCACAUUGGGACCGGGACACGGCCCAAACUCCUACGGGAGGCAGCAGUAGGGAAUCUUCCGCAAUGGGCGAAAGCCUGACGGAGCAAUGCCGCGUGAGUGAAGAAGGCCUUCGGGUCGUAAAACUCUGUUAUAAGAGAAGAACAAAUUGUAGAGUAACUGCUACAGUCUUGACGGUAUCUUAUCAGAAAGCCACGGCUAACUACGUGCCAGCCGCCGCAGUAA